CACCCCUCCACGCCUCGCAGCGCUUACAGCUCCACCCAACAGGAAAGAUCCCCAGGUUAUUUUAUUGCCGUACUCAGAGACGGAGUCUCGCUCUGUUGCCCAGGCUGGAGCACAGUGGCACGAUCUCGGAUCACUGCAAGCUCCACCUCCCGGGCCUCAGUCUGCAGAGACACAGAAGCAAAUGACUGUAUGAAGCUCCUGACUGUAUGAAGUUCUCAGUCAAACAAAAUAGUACCUCUUCUGCCCAUCUCAGAGGUCGAUGAGGGUAAAGUGAAAUAAUGGAAAGCACAAGGAACAGUAAAAGGCAAAUGUCAAGAAGCUGUUUGCAAAGUUAGCAAGAUGUAAAAUUAGAUUUUACUUAUUAAUAAUCAUGUCACUUGUCAUUCUGUUUAUAACGGUCAGUUCACUGCUGAUAUUCAAGUGGAACGUUUAAACUGUAUUUUUGCUCAACUAUCCCUCCAAAUAAAUAUCUUGAAAUCUUGACUGUU
Long non-coding RNA from Pongo pygmaeus (Bornean orangutan), 488 nucleotides. RefSeq lists it as uncharacterized. Lineage: Eukaryota; Metazoa; Chordata; Mammalia; Primates; Hominidae. The record is from RefSeq and is a predicted model, not a curated record. The transcript has 3 exons.